CCUACGGGAGGCAGCAGUGGGGAAUUUUGGACAAUGGGGGCAACCCUGAUCCAGCCAUUCCGCGUGAGUGAAGAAGGCCUUCGGGUUGUAAAGCUCUUUCGCAAGGGAAGAAAACUUAUGAUCGAAUAAAUCAUGAGGUUGACGGUACCUUGAUAAGAAGCACCGGCUAACUACGUGCCAGCAGCCGCGGUAAUACGUAGGGUGCGAGCGUUAAUCGGAAUUACUGGGCGUAAAGCGUGCGCAGGCGGUUUUGUAAGUCGGAUGUGAAAUCCCCGGGCUCAACCUGGGAACUGCGUUCGAAACUGCAAGGCUAGAGUGUGUCAGAGGGGGGUAGAAUUCCACGUGCAGCAGUGAAAUGCGUAGAGAUGUGGAGGAAUACCAAUGGCGAAGGCAGCCCCCUGGGAUAACGCUGACGCUCAUGCACGAAAGCGUGGGGAGCAAACAGGAUUAGAUACCCUGGUAGUCCACGCCCUAAACGAUGUCAACUAGUUGUUGGUAGAGUAAAAUCUAUGAGUAACGUAGCUAACGCGUGAAGUUGACCGCCUGGGGAGUACGGUCGCAAGAUUAAAACUCAAAUGAAUUGACGG
Molecule: ribosomal RNA, 587 nt
Filed under: uncultured bacterium
Lineage: Bacteria
Description: bacterial SSU rRNA
Rfam family: Bacterial small subunit ribosomal RNA
Source: RNAcentral